Molecule: transfer RNA, 57 nt
Filed under: Bos taurus (domestic cattle)
Lineage: Eukaryota; Metazoa; Chordata; Mammalia; Artiodactyla; Bovidae
Also listed under: 2 other names
Rfam family: tRNA
About the family: Transfer RNA (tRNA) molecules are approximately 80 nucleotides in length. Their secondary structure includes four short double-helical elements and three loops (D, anti-codon, and T loops).
Source: Rfam by way of RNAcentral
UGGCUCAGAGGUUAAAGUGUCUGCCUGAAAUGCGGAAGACCCGGGUUCGAUCCCUGG